Non-coding RNA from Bos taurus (domestic cattle), 72 nucleotides. The record is from Rfam. NCBI's taxonomy places the organism in Eukaryota, Metazoa, Chordata, Mammalia, Artiodactyla, Bovidae.
UCCCCAGUGGCUCUGUUGGUAAAGAAUCUGCCUGCAAUGCAGGAGACCCAGGUUUGAGCCCUGGGUAGGGAA